AAGAUCCAAUAAUCGAAGCCCAGUAAGAUAUGCAAUUGAUGGAGGCAAUCCUCUUAUGCCACUUCCUGAUAGUCUCAAAACCCGUAGUGAUUCCAUCUCGACUUCUAUUUCCGGGAAACUCUCAAGGCUUUUGCAAUUACUAAGAUCAAGUUCUUCAAGAGAUUUCAGUCUAAGUGUUGCAAACCUUGUAAGAUUGAAGCAUCCACGAAGAUCCAAUAAUCGAAGCCCAGUAAGAUAUGCAAUUGAUGGAGGCAAUCCUCUUAUGCCACUUCCUGAUAGUCUCAAAAACCGUAGUGAUUCCAUCUCGACUUCUAUUUCCGGGAAACUCUCAAGGCUUUUGCAAUCACUAAGAUCAAGGUUUUUAAGAGAUUUCAUUCUAAGUGUUGCAAACCUUGUAAGAUUGAAGCAUCCACGAAGAUCCAAUAAUCGAAGCCCAGUAAGAUAUGCAAUUGAUGGAGGCAAUUCUCUUACGCCACUUCCUGAUAUGUUCAAACCCCAUAGUGAUUCCAUCUCGACUUCUAUUUCCGGGAAACUCUCAAGGCUUUUGCAAUUACUAAGAUCAAGGUUUUCAAGAGAUUUCAGUCUAAGUGUUGCAAACCUUGUAAGAUUGAAGCAUCCACGAAGAUCCAAUAAUCGAAGCCCAGUAAGAUAUGCAAUUGAUGGAGGCAAUCCUCUUAUGCCACUUCCUGAUAG
This 693-nucleotide long non-coding RNA is filed under the name Prunus persica (peach). RNAcentral's name for it is "long non-coding RNA (PPER_LNC001972)". The record is from RNAcentral. Lineage: Eukaryota; Viridiplantae; Streptophyta; Magnoliopsida; Rosales; Rosaceae.